Molecule: ribosomal RNA, 492 nt
Filed under: uncultured bacterium
Lineage: Bacteria
Description: partial 16S ribosomal RNA
Rfam family: Bacterial small subunit ribosomal RNA
Source: RNAcentral
AGUGAACGCUGGCGGUAGGCCUAACACAUGCAAGUCGAACGGCAGCACAGUAAGAGCUUGCUCUUACGGGUGGCGAGUGGCGGACGGGUGAGGAAUACAUCGGAAUCUACUUUUUCGUUGGGGUUAACGUAGGGAAACUUACGCUAUUACCUCAUACGACCUUCGGUUGAAAGCAGGGGAUCUUCGGACCUUGCGCGAUUGAUUGAGCCGAUGUCGGAUUAGCUAGUUGGCGGGGUAAAGGCCCACCAAGGCGACGAUCCGUAGCUGGUCUGAGAGGAUGAUCAGCCACACUGGAACUGAGAAACGGUCCAGACUCCUACGGGAGGCAGAAGUGGGGAAUAUUGGACAAUGGGCGCAAGCCUGAUCCAGCCAUACCGCGUGGGUGAAGAAGGCCUUCGGGUUGUAAAGCCCUUUUGUUGGGAAAGAAAAGCAGCAGGUUAAUACCCCGCUGUUCUGACGGUACCCAAAGAAUAAGCACCGGCUAACUUCGUG